UACGUAGGGGGCAAGCGUUGUCCGGAUUUAUUGGGCGUAAAGAGCGUGUAGGCGGCUUCACAGGUCCGCUGUGAAAACUCGAGGCUCAACCUCGAGCUGUCGGUGGAAACCGUGUGGCUAGAGUCCGGAAGAGGAGAGUGGAAUUCCCGGUGUAGCGGUGAAAUGCGCAGAUAUCGGGAGGAACACCAAUAGCGAAGGCAGCUCGCUGGGACGUUACUGACACUGAGGCGCGAAAGCGUGGGGAGCGAACAGG
RNAcentral lists this ribosomal RNA (253 nucleotides) under uncultured bacterium. Its description in RNAcentral is "partial 16S ribosomal RNA". It matches the Rfam family "Bacterial small subunit ribosomal RNA", at positions 524 to 776 of the family's 1533-position model. The record is from RNAcentral.